AACGAACGCUGGCGGCAGGCCUAACACAUGCAAGUCGAGCGGGGGAGCAAUCCCUAGCGGCGGACGGGUGAGUAACGCGUGGGAACGUACCCUUUGCUUCGGAAUAGCCCCCGGGAAACUGGGAGUAAUACCGGAUGUGCCCUACGGGGGAAAGAAUUUCGGCAAAGGAUCGGCCCGCGUUGGAUUAGGUAGUUGGUGGGGUAAUGGCCUACCAAGCCGACGAUCCAUAGCUGGUUUGAGAGGAUGAUCAGCCACACUGGGACUGAGACACGGCCCAGACUCCUACGGGAGGCAGCAGUGGGGAAUCUUAGACAAUGGGCGCAAGCCUGAUCUAGCCAUGCCGCGUGAGCGAUGAAGGCCUUAGGGUUGUAAAGCUCUUUCGUGGGGGGAAGAUAAUGACGGUACCCCAAGAAGAAGCCCCGGCUAACUCCGUGCCAGCAGCCGCGGUAAU
Molecule: ribosomal RNA, 451 nt
Filed under: uncultured bacterium
Lineage: Bacteria
Description: bacterial SSU rRNA
Rfam family: Bacterial small subunit ribosomal RNA
Source: RNAcentral